CUGUACAUUCCUAAACACUGACUAACACAAUAUGGAUAAUCAUGCUGUUGCAAUUCAUCCACACGUUUCUCAAGCCCGCUUGUUUUUUCUCAGCUAGAGCGUGCCUUGGUGAAUCCUGUCGCUGAACCAAUUUCUCUCCCUUGGUCACGACCAUGCUAAGCUUUUCCUUUGUAUUUGCAAGGCCCUAUUAUUUUUCUGCUCAAGUUCCACCUUCACUCUUCCAAGUUAUGCAUUUGCUGCUCAAGCAAAUCAUUUGGAAAAAAAGCAGCCACAGCAAGAACACCAUAGCAGCAGCAACAUGGCCAUGCCAACAAGCAACAGCUUAAAACGGGAAAAUCGUAUGGAAAACAGGAAAAGAAACACCAGCAAGAAAGAACUAACUACAAAGUUCGUCGUCAUACCAGCAAUAUGACCAUGCCACAGCUUAAAAAGGGGAAAAUCGUGUGGAAAAUAGGAAAAGAAACACCAGCAAGAAAGAACUAACUACAAAGUUCGUAGUCAUACUAGCAAUAUGGACAGCUCACAGCUUAAAAAGGGAAAAUCGUGUGGACAACAGGAAAAGAAACACCAGCAAGAAAGAACUAACUACAAAGUUCGUAGUCAUACUAGCAAUAUGGACAGCUCACAGCUUAAAAGGGGAAAAUCGUGUGGACAACAGGAAAAGAAACACCAGCAAGAAAGAACUAACUACAACGUGCGUAGUCAUACCAGCAAUUGACAAUCCAAAGCCAAAUCAAAUUAGCCAAUAGAAAGACCAGUCACUUCCCUAAGCAAACCUGGAUGUCAAAAAGCAACAAAAAUUAUUGUCCCCAUUAACAUGAAUUUCAAGCUCAAAGCUUCAUAAACAUGAUGAGCAAACAAUUAUUGGAACCCCAUUAAAUGCGAGUUCUUGACGGUAAAAACCACAGCUACAUGGCAUUCAAAAUCAGUCCCACAGUCAACCAUAGAAUUUAUAUUUCCUUCAACAAUGAUAGAUAAAUGUUUUUUUUUUUUUUUUAAAAAAAAAAAGGCAGAUUCCUUACAGAACGAAAGAAAAAUCACUGAUUCGAACAAAUUAGGAAAAUAAUUAGAGGGAAAGGAGAGAACUUGUGACGAAACGACUUCUUCGACUUCGGAGAGAUCGAGGUCUUCUCUCAUGAUUUUUUCACACUAGUCUCGGUGCGUCUCAUAUCUGCCUACGAAAUAAGCAUCAACACCAGUCGUCCAUCCUCAUCGACGCUAGAUCCGGUCCCUCGCUCUUUUCAUCCUUGUCUUCUUCGACACGGCAUCCCCCUUUUCCUCUGGUCUUGUCCACUCCUGGGGGAAUUUUGAUUUUUAUGGAGAAAAUAGUUAGUUGGAAGACGACAUAUAUCAUGUAUUCAUC
This 1363-nucleotide long non-coding RNA is filed under the name Populus tremula. RNAcentral describes it as "long non-coding RNA (PTRE_LNC000551)". The record is from RNAcentral. Lineage: Eukaryota; Viridiplantae; Streptophyta; Magnoliopsida; Malpighiales; Salicaceae.